GUUUUCGGAUCGUAAGCUCUGUUGUUAGGGAAGAACAAGUGCUAUAGUAACUGCUCGCACCUUGACGGUACCUAACCAAAAAGCCCCGGCUAACUACGUGCCAGCAGCCGCGGUAAUACGUAGGUGGCAAGCGUUGUCCGGAAUUAUUGGGCGUAAAGGGCUCGCAGGCGGUUUCUUAAGUCUGAUGUGAAAUCCCCCGGCUCAACCGGGGAGGGUCAUUGGAAACUGGGAAACUUGAGUGCAGAAGAGGAGAAUGGAAUUCCACGUGUAGCGGUGAAAUGCGUAGAGAUGUGGAGGAACACCAAUGGCGAAGGCGACUCUCUGGUCUGUAACUGACGCUCAUGAACGAAAGCGUGGGGAGCGAACAGGAUUAGAUACCCUGGUAGUCCACGCCCUAAACGAUGACUGCUGAUUGUUGGGGGGUUUCCGCCCCUUAAUGCUGCCUCUAACGCGAUAUUCACUCCCCGGGGGGAGUACGGUCGCGGGACUGACUCUCAGGAGAUUUGACGGACGCCCGCACACGCUGUGGAACAUGUGUUUUAUCUCUAAGCCACGCGAAAAACCUUACCCCGUCUUGACGUCCUCUGAUUACCCUAGAUAU
RNAcentral lists this ribosomal RNA (601 nucleotides) under Caryophanales bacterium Se3Ps_2673. RNAcentral describes it as "partial 16S rRNA". It matches the Rfam family "Bacterial small subunit ribosomal RNA", at positions 414 to 1007 of the family's 1533-position model. Lineage: Bacteria; Bacillati; Bacillota; Bacilli; Caryophanales. The record is from RNAcentral.